GAUGAACGCUAGCGGCGUGCCUAAUACAUGCAAGUUGAGCGAUGGAGAUCGGUACCUCCACCAAUUUGCAGGGCAGCGAACGGGUGAGUACCGCGUGCGGACUCUGCCUUAGAGCGGGGGACAACAGUUGGAUACGACUGCUAAUACCACAUAACCACUUUAAACAUAAGUUUUAAGUUUGAAAGAUGCAAUUGCAUCACUCAAAGAUGAUCCCGCGUUGUAUUAGCUAGUUGGUGAGGUACAGGCUCACCAAGGCGAUGGUACAUAGCCGACCGGAGAGGGUGAACGGUGAUAUUGCGCCUGGGACACGGCCCAAACGCCAGCGGGAGACAGCAGGAAGGAGUCGUCGACAUUGGACGAAAGUCGGGCCGAGCAACGCGGCGUGAGUGGUGAAGGUUUUAGGAUCGUAAAGCUGUGUUCGGAGUGUAUAACGGAAGUGAGAGUGGAUAGCUCAUCAAGUGACGGUAACUGCCGAGAAAGGAACGGCUAACUACGUG
RNAcentral lists this ribosomal RNA (497 nucleotides) under uncultured bacterium. Its description in RNAcentral is "partial 16S ribosomal RNA". It matches the Rfam family "Bacterial small subunit ribosomal RNA", at positions 28 to 507 of the family's 1533-position model. The record is from RNAcentral.